CGGGGCUUAGCGCAGUUGGUAGCGCACACGUCUGGGGGGCGCGAGGUCGCUGGUUCGAGUCCAGUAGCCCCGA
This 73-nucleotide transfer RNA is filed under the name Prevotella sp. RNAcentral's name for it is "tRNA-Pro". It matches the Rfam family "tRNA". From Rfam's summary of the family: Transfer RNA (tRNA) molecules are approximately 80 nucleotides in length. Lineage: Bacteria; Pseudomonadati; Bacteroidota; Bacteroidia; Bacteroidales; Prevotellaceae. RNAcentral also lists the same sequence under 1 other name. The record is from RNAcentral.